UACGAAGGGGGCGAGCGUUGUUCGGAUUUACUGGGCGUAAAGGGCUCGUAGGCGGCCAACUAAGUCAGACGUGAAAUCCCUCGGCUUAACCGGGGAACUGCGUCUGAUACUGGUUGGCUUGAGUGUGGGAGAGGGAUGCGGAAUUCCAGGUGUAGCGGUGAAAUGCGUAGAUAUCUGGAGGAACACCGGUGGCGAAGGCGGCAUCCUGGACCAUUACUGACGCUGAGGAGCGAAAGCCAGGGGAGCAAACGGG
This 253-nucleotide ribosomal RNA is filed under the name uncultured bacterium. Its description in RNAcentral is "partial 16S ribosomal RNA". It matches the Rfam family "Bacterial small subunit ribosomal RNA", at positions 524 to 776 of the family's 1533-position model. The record is from RNAcentral.